Molecule: long non-coding RNA, 4612 nt
Organism: Lutra lutra (Eurasian river otter)
Lineage: Eukaryota; Metazoa; Chordata; Mammalia; Carnivora; Mustelidae
Exons: 2
Source: RefSeq, a predicted model, not a curated record
AUAUGGAGAUCUGUCUGCGUUAAGAGAGUUAACAGAAGCAUAUUUCCUUGAAUUUGUUUGUUUUGUUUUUGUUUUUGUUUCUUCUUGAAUUUGUUCUGAUUGACGUUGUUAUCAUUGUAAGGUAAACUUGAUUCAGUUCUGCAGACGUACUGAAUACACCUUAUGGCAAGCAUUCUGCUAACUUAAGAAAUGUUCUAGACACCAGGAAUAUAUGUAAGAUUUAUUCCUUGUCCUCAAAAAGUAUACAUUUGAGGUGAGGGCAGGACAAGAAAGGCAGGCAGUAUAGCAUAGUGGUUAAGAGCACCGACUUGGGAUCAGCUUACCUGGAUUUGAAUUCUUACUUCACCAAUUCCAAGCUAGUAUGACUUUGGGAAGUUACUUACAGUUUUUUCAUCUAUAAAAUGAGGAUAAGAGCAGUUUCUGCUUCACUGGAUUAAAAUAAAUUAAUGCGUAUAAAAUACUUUGAAUAGUGCUUGGCAAAUAAUAGGUACUCAAUAUGUGUUAACUAUUAUUUUUAUAAAAAAUGAAGUAGCUUGGUGUGUAUGUUAGGAAAGGUUUAGAAAAUUAGUUGAUGAAAUAGUGGUUAGUGGUGGCACACAUCACAAAAUAGUUUUAGGAGGAUAAAUAAAAGACUUAAUUUUUAGAAACAUAUACAUAAGUGAAACCCAGGCCAUUUACUAUUCAAAGAAGAGACUUGUUUAUAUACUUCAUGCACACACAUGUGUACAUGCACACACAUAUUUUGUACCAUACGCUAAAACCAGCCUAUAAAAUGAUCUACAGGCAACAUCAAAGUUUUAGAAUUUAUCCAGAAUAUUUGUUUUGCCUUGAUAACAGUUAUGAAUCAUUACCCAUUAAUUUAUUGAUUAAUAAAUGAAUCUUUUAAUUGAUUAUCAUAUUUGUGAUACAGAAUAGUACAGUAAUGCUUCAUUGUAACCACAUCAGCAAAUGAAAUGUUCCACUGAAAGAAAUUGUCAGGUUACUGUAGUUUACCCUACCGGCACCAAGUUUUUCUUAAUUUUUCACUCCAACCUUUUAAAAAAAGUUUGUAUCUUAAUAAAUAAGAGUAUAUCAAUUAAAGUAUAAUCUUGUAGAAUCACAAAAUUUCACAGGUAGCUCUGUAGCACACACUUGGCUCAGCUCUUAUUUUACUGAUGUAGAGACUGAUUUUCAGACAAGAUAAAGGACUUGUCUUUGGUCACAUCUUGAUGUGGCAAAUCCAGGGCUGACCCUCUUCUUUUAGUAGAGCAGACUUUCCAGUAUAAUGUUAAGUGCCUCAGAUUUUUCUGUGUGUAUCUCAUUGUCUUGUGCUCUUACGGUACAACUGAUCCAGAAAGGAAACAGCAGUGAAUGACACUAGAUAAUGAGAAUGACCUUGGAAGUGUUGAGAAAUGGCAAGCUUAUCAAUUGCAUGAGACUUGGCCUUCUCCAAUUAAGCAGCUUUUAUCUUUAAAACAUUUGAAAGUACUAUUUUGAGAUAUCCUUAGGAACUGUUAAAGUUGAUAGUACUGUUGGAGGCUAUAAUGAAAGGCUCAGCUACUCUGCUUUUCUAAUUAUCGAAUGUUCUGUGCUCUGCUUCCUGCUGUCACUUCUCCUUGCUGUCUGCUUCCACCAGCUGGUCUUACAGUUUCAUGUUAACUGGCUUAAUCUCUUGUCUGCUAGGGUAUAGGACAGACAGAAGGGAGCUAAUGCUGGUUUUGCUGCUUACUAGAUGGAGACUUUAGACAAGUUAAUUAACUUCUUUGAGUCUUAAUUUUAUUAUCUUAAAAUUGGGCAUUAUAACAGUUCCUACUAUAUAGGAUUGUUGUGAAGACUGGGAACUACUCUCAGAGUUGCAAAUACAAAUGCUGUUUCUAUUUUAUUUCUAGUACUAGUACUAGUCAGUAUUUAAAUAACCACCAUAGUUUAGAGAAUCUCCCUUUAAUAAGUUAACCAAGGAGUUGGAGCCUGUCCCUCUUUGUGACAUCAUUUUAUGUGCAAAUGUCAGUUGAGAAGAUGACUGGUACCCAAGAAAACUGAACAAGCAAGGCAUGCUUGACAAAGUUACUACAGGCCAAGGCCUCACUCACAGUCAUAAGCUAAGAAACAAAACAAGAUCCAUUUUAGAGAAAUGGACUCAUAUCAUGCAAGUUCUCCAAAACUGUCUUAUAAAAUACCAAUUUCUAAAAAAGCUAACUGGUAAGGGACUGAACCCUAGUUUCUUCUGGCCAAUCAGGUUUUCUCUCUAUAAGCAACCCUCAGGAAACCAACUCAGAAUGCUAGUUUAUUCAUUUAAAAUAAGGUAUGUAAAUGCCAAGGGGACAGGACAUGCCCAUCCUCCAGCCAGUACUUCCCUUCAGGCAAAAAUAUGCGUGUGAAACCAGAGUAUAAUCAGGAGGUGGGCAGCCUUGGCACCUACAUCCCCAGUAGUCAGUAGCUACCCCUGGAACUGGUCUUCAGGUCCCUCUAUCCUAGACAUUAGGUGGGUACUGUCCACGUUUGCCUCUGUGACUCCUUGGUGACCACCCACCUGAAUGACACUUUUUUGGACAGAUUCAUACGUGCAGUCAGGUUGUACCCUUGGACUAUCCUUGCCGGCCUGGGACCUAUGAUGACUCUUACUUCUUGGCCUUUUUCUGCUCUUACACUAUGUUGAUUGUAAAGUUAACUCUCGGAGCUUCCUGGGGGACCUCUACUGCAGUUUCUGUAAACACACAAAAUUUGCUCUUCCAGUCAUUGAAUUUACUUGCUCCUAUGUAGCAACCUCAGACACCUCGAGUUUGUUUACUACACAUGGUCCCAGGCCUUCUCUUGGAAGAAACCCCAGUGAUCUUCCAAGAAGUAAUCUACUCCUCAUGAACCUGACCUCUCUGGGCAGGCUGAGGGAUGGAGAGGGAGAGAGAAUGGAGUCAUCGCUCUAUACUGUUUGUCUGUGGCAGCCUUCCAUUUUCUCUUCUGUGACCUGUCUCUGUCCUCUGACUUCCCGGGUUUGCCCCUGGGAGCACUGCUUAUGGGCUCCCCCUAGGUGCUCUGCACUCCCUCCAGCACACGCCCCAAGCCGACUCUACCAGAUCUAUGGCAUUUUCUGCCUGGUAAUUAGACCAUAUAAUUUAAAAUAACCUUUUUUCUUUCUUUUACUUUCCAUGAAAACAUCCAUCUUCUUAGUCUUUAGUACAUAUUAGAAAAAGUGGUUUGAUUAAACUGUAGGAUUCAGGGGUUCAUAGUUGUAUCACACAUUGACUGUGUAGCAGUUUGAUUUAGUUCUUUUUGAGAGCGUAAGUCUCGGACGAGCUGCAGUCAGUGGGGGCAGGGCCAGAGGGAGAGUGAAUCUCAAGCAGACUCCAUGCUGAGCAUAGAGCCGGGCUUGAUCACAUGCCUAUGAGAUCAUGAACCGAGCUGAAACCAGGACCUUGACAUCUAAGUGACUGAGCCACCCAGGCACCCCUAAGCAUUUUGAUACUGUAACUGCUUCUAUAGAAAAGUUUAUUUAAAAAAAAAAAAAAAAAGGCUUUGGGUUCUGGAGCUCUUUUUAACUUGGUCUCCUGCAAAGCCCUAAGGUUGGGAGUGGGGCUAAGCCGGGCUGGUAUGGAUAUGAUUUUCUUUGCUUUGCAUAUUGGGCAUUUCUUAUAAUAUUUAAUGUGUAAGAAAGAUCUUAUAGAUAGAAUUUGAAGACCGCUGGUUGGUUAUCUGCAAUUCCUUGAGGAAUGUGAAUUGAGGAGUGUGAAGUUUUACAAUCUGUUACUUUCCACACAGUUUCUUUAUCUCAGCUGUGUUAUUUUGAAAUGUACUGAAAAAGUCCUUAGUUACUUGUAAAUUCCUUUUCUUAAAAUGCUACUCUGAAAUUACUUUCUGCUCAUCUUCAAUGUUAGAGAAAUGAGUAAAAGAUAAGCAUGAAUUAAAUGCUGUGUUCUCUGACCUGGGCUUAAACUCUGGCUCCACCAUUUCUUUAUAAAGUUACGAAACCUCUCUCUGCCCCCCUGGACUUGUUUUCUGCUAAGUGGGCGCCCUCAUGCAGGCUGCUGGGAGACCCAGAGUUGACCGUGGAUACACUGUGCCGAGAAUGUUCUCUGCUCAGUGUUGGAUGCCAGCAGCAGCAGCAGCCUUGUACUCGGUAACUAGAUGAGCCCCGGGCUGUACUUAGGGGUGUUUUUCAGCAUUUAAUAUGAAUCUGUGAAAGUUCAAGAAGAGUUUUCUAAUUAUGGAUAAUUGUGUAUUUUCCUUGAAAGAGUUUAAGUGUUCUGAUUAACCUGAAGUUUCUACUCUACUUGCAGUAGGAUUAAGAUGAUUUUAUUCUACACCCGAUUGCCAACAUACUGGCUUUCUGCUUGGCUCAAAUUCCUCUAUCCCUUUUAACACUGCUGCUCUGAGAUGGUAACAUAGGAAAUGAGGUACAUUGAGGUUGCAGCGGCGCACUGUUUCAGAGUCUGUUAGGGCAGGGAAGAAGUGCUGGUAAAAGCAAGUGUCCUUUUUGCCAGGAGUUUGAUAAUUGAGAAUAUACAUCAAAAAAGAAAACGGUCUAAAGCUGUCUGCUUAGAAAUCUCUAGAAACUAAUCCAUUAAAACUUACAGUAUUUCAGUAAGGCAUUAGGAUUUGUUGUUACUGUAACAGGAUAUAUGCAGUACCGGGUGACUUA